Molecule: long non-coding RNA, 148 nt
Organism: Oxyura jamaicensis (ruddy duck)
Lineage: Eukaryota; Metazoa; Chordata; Aves; Anseriformes; Anatidae
Exons: 3
Source: RefSeq, a predicted model, not a curated record
UAUUUCCUUAUGGUUUUACAGAAAUAUCUAAAUUUAGAAAACUAGAAAUCCAUUUAUUUGCCUCUUUUCCUUAAAAACUGCUACUGUAAUCCCCCCUCAACUAGUCAGCAGUGGUCCCCUCUAAAACCUCCUUUAAGCCAUCUCAGCC